AUGACCUGUGGAAAUUAAAGUAUUUUCAUUAAAAUAACUGCGAUGAAGGACAUCGUGCAGUCUAAGAACACUCAAUUGAGAUGAAAGAGAAUGCAUUCAUAUGCCCACAGAUUGAUUCUGACCUUUCAUUCACAGGAUCACAGGACAAUUCAUGGUAGAAAGGGUCAGAAUUACGGCUUGUAGCAGAAAUGCUAUAUCACAACAUGAAGCAGUGAUGGAGCAUCUGGUAGGAAGGCAGGGCCAACCCAUGGGAGCUCAGCUGCAUGCAAUAUUGCUGAGUGAUAAAGUGGUGGAGCCAGGAUCCAGCCCUCAUUUAAGGGCUGGCAGAGGAAGCGAGAGUAUCUCUCUGGAGAUCCCUAUGUACCUGAGGUCUUCUGAAGCAGGGGAAGGGCAUCUGUCAGGAGGGUCAUCCAGAAGGAGCAAGGGGCAAUGUGAGCAGUCAUCAGCAUCAAAAGCAGCCUGGCAGCUUCAGAGAACCGCUUCUCCCCAUACAGACGGUGGAAUUCACGGAAAAGGAUUCCAAGACAACCAAUCAAAGAUGCAGCUGCAAUUUUUCCUCCACAAGGAGAUCACCGCAACAGAGGAAAACUGCAGGUAAGGUCUUCAAAGACUUCUCU
This is a long non-coding RNA of Tympanuchus pallidicinctus (lesser prairie-chicken), 617 nucleotides long. RefSeq lists it as uncharacterized. The transcript has 3 exons. Lineage: Eukaryota; Metazoa; Chordata; Aves; Galliformes; Phasianidae. The record is from RefSeq and is a predicted model, not a curated record.